Non-coding RNA from Acanthosepion pharaonis, 115 nucleotides. NCBI's taxonomy places the organism in Eukaryota, Metazoa, Mollusca, Cephalopoda, Sepiida, Sepiidae. The record is from the annotation of a GenBank genome assembly.
CUUGCGGCCACAUCACGUUGAAUCACCGGUUCCCGUACGAUCACCAAAGUUAAGCAAUGUCGAGCCUGGUUAGUACCUAGAUGGGUGACAACUUUGAAAUGUCAAGUGCUGUAAG